Molecule: non-coding RNA, 226 nt
Filed under: Streptomyces griseoaurantiacus M045
Lineage: Bacteria; Bacillati; Actinomycetota; Actinomycetes; Kitasatosporales; Streptomycetaceae
Description: Streptomyces sRNA 4677
Rfam family: Streptomyces sRNA 4677
About the family: Located in the intergenic region between anti-sigma factor SCO4677 gene and a putative regulatory protein gene SCO4676. scr4677 expression requires the SCO4677 activity and scr4677 sRNA itself seem to affect the levels of the SCO4676-associated transcripts.
Source: Rfam by way of RNAcentral
GCCGCGGGCGGUGACCACUCAAGGAACUCGGAGGAGAAAGGACCGCACCAAGCCCACCCCCCUCCCACCGUCGGUCAGCGGCGGGGAGCCGCUCACUCACGCGGGUGAACAUCACCGGCUCGGCUGGAUUUCGGGGCCCCCAACUGUCCUACUCUCAGCGCAAAAGCCCCCGACAUAUGUCGGCCCACGGCCGCGACCUGGGAUCCCGAACGAGGGCCUGACCGGC